CAGCUGCAGCUUGAAUGAGCUGAAUUUAUUCUGUGACAGCUCACAGGCAUGCAUAUGAAAGUCCUACCUGUACCUGCCUUUCGGCAAGACAGUCGUUGGGCGAUUUUCAACUACUACACAGCCUGACUCAGUGGUUGCAAGCCACGCAGUAAACAGUGUGCUGGUCAGCCAGACCAGCACAUGCACCAGCAGUUUGCGACCUCUAAGUCCAAUUUUUGUAAUUUUCAGUUUUUGUGAGAACUUUUAAAGAAACUCUAUGGAGAAGCCACACUCUCCAUUUUGUGUGCAUAAGUGAUAUAUUGUGCAUUCAAGGAAAUCUGGCAUGACACUAGUUAUGGAGUUGACAGCUAGCCCUCUGAUAAAGCAAAAAAAAAAAAGUGAUAUAGACCUGUCAGUGCUUCUAAUUUGUGAGUGAUUAUUUCUUUCUGUAAUGCAGGUUUAUGCAGGCAGUGGCUUCUGGUUGGACCAGAAAGCCUGGGACUGCUUGUUUAGUGCCUCGACAGAUUCUAUGUUUUGCAGAAGCGCUGCUACCGUGUUAUGGACGGCAGAGCAAUUAAAGACGAGGAGUGUGACGGGGACACUUUCGAACAAAGCCCGUUCGCUUGGCUACACCGAGGCAAAGCCACCACUCACGCCAGAAAAAAUCUCGUCUCUAAAGGCGAUGCUUGCCAUCUACAUGGGCGACGUGACAAAGGAGGUGGCGGACAAGCGAAUGAAAAUGGUCCGCAAGCAUUUGUCACAAAAGCUUGGUGACGUGCAGCGGCGCUGAAUUGUGUGUAUCAGCCACGGACAUUAAGGUGUUCAAUAAAUCUAUCAGUCGGA
This is a non-coding RNA of Dermacentor andersoni, 822 nucleotides long. The record is from RefSeq and is a predicted model, not a curated record. Lineage: Eukaryota; Metazoa; Arthropoda; Arachnida; Ixodida; Ixodidae.